CCUACGGGGGGCAGCAGUGGGGAAUAUUGGACAAUGGGGGGAACCCUGAUCCAGCCAUGCCGCGUGUGUGAAGAAGGCCCUCGGGUUGUAAAGCACUUUCAGUGAGGAAGAACGCCUGGUGGUUAAUACCCAUCAGGAAAGCCAUCACUCACAGAAGAAGCACCGGCUAACUCCGUGCCAGCAGCCGCGGUAAUACGGAGGGUGCGAGCGUUAAUCGGAAUUACUGGGCGUAAAGCGCGCGUAGGUGGCUUGAUAAGCCGGUUGUGAAAGCCCCGGGCUCAACCUGGGAACGGCAUCCGGAACUGUCAAGCUAGAGUGCAGGAGAGGAAGGUAGAAUUCCCGGUGUAGCGGUGAAAUGCGUAGAGAUCGGGAGGAAUACCAGUGGCGAAGGCGGCCUUCUGGACUGACACUGACACUGAGGUGCGAAAGCGUGGGUAGCAAACAGGAUUAGAUACCCCUGUAGUC
This 465-nucleotide ribosomal RNA is filed under the name Vreelandella stevensii. Its description in RNAcentral is "partial 16S ribosomal RNA". It matches the Rfam family "Bacterial small subunit ribosomal RNA", at positions 338 to 795 of the family's 1533-position model. The record is from RNAcentral. Lineage: Bacteria; Pseudomonadati; Pseudomonadota; Gammaproteobacteria; Oceanospirillales; Halomonadaceae.